This is a long non-coding RNA of Aricia agestis (brown argus), 157 nucleotides long. RefSeq lists it as uncharacterized. The record is from RefSeq and is a predicted model, not a curated record. The transcript is spliced from 2 exons. Lineage: Eukaryota; Metazoa; Arthropoda; Insecta; Lepidoptera; Lycaenidae.
AGGUCAAUGUUUCGAAGUCCGUCUGGGAGUUAAGUCCGUCUAGCGGCAAUUACUUCCAUAUUUGAACGACUAGUUUCAUAUGGCUCAGUGGGUAAAACAAUAUUGCAAAGUUAGUUUGAUCUAAGAAACAGACAUGUCGCUACUAACUACCUGUUAC